AGCCCCGAGGUGUUUUACAUAUGGGAUUGCAAAUCCAGAGUAGCAGGUUAAGGUCUACUGGGGCUU
Molecule: transfer RNA, 66 nt
Filed under: Wuhanlinigobius polylepis
Lineage: Eukaryota; Metazoa; Chordata; Actinopteri; Gobiiformes; Gobiidae
Description: tRNA-Cys
Source: RNAcentral